RNAcentral lists this ribosomal RNA (468 nucleotides) under uncultured bacterium. Its description in RNAcentral is "partial 16S ribosomal RNA". It matches the Rfam family "Bacterial small subunit ribosomal RNA", at positions 28 to 507 of the family's 1533-position model. The record is from RNAcentral.
GAUGAACGCUGGCGGCGUGCUUAACACAUGCAAGUCGAACGGAAAGGCCCAAGCUUGCUUGGGUACUCGAGUGGCGAACGGGUGAGUAACACGUGGGUGAUCUGCCCUGCACUUCGGGAUAAGCCUGGGAAACUGGGUCUAAUACCGGAUAGGACGAUGGUUUGGAUGCCAUUGUGGAAAGUUUUGUCGGUGUGGGAUGAGCUCGCGGCCUAUCAGCUUGUUGGUGGGGUAAUGGCCUACCAAGGCGUCGACGGGUAGCCGGCCUGAGAGGGUGUACGGCCACAUUGGGACUGAGAUACGGCCCAGACUCCUACGGGAGGCAGCAGUGGGGAAUAUUGCACAAUGGGCGCAAGCCUGAUGCAGCGACGCCGCGUGGGGGAUGACGGCCUUCGGGUUGUAAACUCCUUUCGCUAGGGACGAAGCGUUUUUGUGACGGUACCUGGAGAAGAAGCACCGGCUAACUACGUG